This is a long non-coding RNA of Mustela erminea (ermine), 118 nucleotides long. RefSeq lists it as uncharacterized. The record is from RefSeq and is a predicted model, not a curated record. NCBI's taxonomy places the organism in Eukaryota, Metazoa, Chordata, Mammalia, Carnivora, Mustelidae. The transcript has 3 exons.
UAGACAGAGAGCAGUCUCGAUAAUGCAAGUCACACACGAGGUUUAUUUCCAGCUAGCUGGGGACCAAGUAUCUGCCCAGCGCAGCAGGUUUCAACAAGUCCCCAGAGCACUCCCAGCC